GAUGAACGCUGGCGGCGUGCCUAAUACAUGCAAGUCGAGCGAACGGACGAGAAGCUUGCUUCUCUGAUGUUAGCGGCGGACGGGUGAGUAACACGUGAAUAACCUACCUAUAAGACUGGGAUAACUUCGGGAAACCGGAGCUAAUACCGGAUAAUAUUUUGAACCGCAUGGUGCAAAAGUGAAAGACGGUCUUGCUGUCACUUAUAGAUGGAUCCGCGCUGCAUUAGCUAGUUGGUAAGGUAACGGCUUACCAAGGCAACGAUGCAUAGCCGACCUGAGAGGGUGAUCGGCCACACUGGAACUGAGACACGGUCCAGACUCCUACGGGAGGCAGCAGUAGGGAAUCUUCCGCAAUGGGCGAAAGCCUGACGGAGCAACGCCGCGUGAGUGAUGAAGGUCUUCGGAUCGUAAAACUCUGUUAUUAGGGAAGAACAUAUGUGUAAGUAACUGUGCACAUCUUGACGGUACCUAAUCAGAAAGCCACGGCUAACUACGUG
RNAcentral lists this ribosomal RNA (497 nucleotides) under uncultured bacterium. RNAcentral describes it as "partial 16S ribosomal RNA". It matches the Rfam family "Bacterial small subunit ribosomal RNA", at positions 28 to 507 of the family's 1533-position model. The record is from RNAcentral.